RNAcentral lists this ribosomal RNA (482 nucleotides) under uncultured bacterium. RNAcentral describes it as "partial 16S ribosomal RNA". It matches the Rfam family "Bacterial small subunit ribosomal RNA", at positions 28 to 523 of the family's 1533-position model. The record is from RNAcentral.
AGUGAACGUUGGCGGCGUGGAUUAGGCAUGCAAGUCGAGCGAGAACCGUAGCAAUACGGGGACAGCGGCGAAAGGGACAGUAAUGUGUAGGUACCUACCUCCGGGUUCGGGAUAGCUGCGGGAAACUGCAGGUAAUACCGAAUAACGUCUCCGGACCAAAGGUGUGAUUCCACCUGGAGAGGGGCCUGCAUCCUAUUAGCUUGUUGGCGGGGUAACGGCCCACCAAGGCGACGAUGGGUAGCGGGUGUGAGAGCACGACCCGCGUCACUGGGACUGAGACACUGCCCAGACACCUACGGGUGGCUGCAGUCGUGAAUCUUCGGCAAUGGGCGCAAGCCUGACCGAGCGACGCCGUGUGCGGGAUGAAGGCCUUCGGGUUGUAAACCGCUGUCGUAGAGGAGGAAAUGCAGGGGGGUUCUCCCCUCUGUUUGACCUAUUCUAGGAGGAAGUACGGGCUAAGUUCGUGCCAGCCGCCGCAGUAA